CCUACGGGAGGCAGCAGUAGGGAAUAUUGCUCAAUGGGGGAAACCCUGAAGCAGCAACGCCGCGUGGAGGAUGAAGGCUUUAGGAUUGUAAACCCCUUUUUUUAGAGAAGAUUAUGACGGUAUCUAACGAAUAAGCACCGGCUCACUCCGUGCCAGCAGCCGCGGUAAUACGGAGGGUGCAAGCGUUAAUCGGAAUCACUGGGCGUAAAGGGUGCGUAGGCGGGGUGAUAAGUCAGAUGUGAAAUCUUGCAGCUUAACCAGAGAAUUGCAUUUGAAACUGUCACUCUGGAGUUCGGGAGAGGUAGGUGGAAUUCUUGGUGUAGGGGUGAAAUGCGUAGAGAUCACGAGGAAUACCAAUUGCGAAGGCGGCUCGCUGGAACAUUACUGACGCUGAGGCACGAAAGCGUGGGGAGCAAACAGGAUUAGAUACCCUAGUAGUC
RNAcentral lists this ribosomal RNA (440 nucleotides) under uncultured bacterium. RNAcentral's name for it is "partial 16S ribosomal RNA". It matches the Rfam family "Bacterial small subunit ribosomal RNA", at positions 338 to 795 of the family's 1533-position model. The record is from RNAcentral.